RNAcentral lists this ribosomal RNA (322 nucleotides) under uncultured eukaryote. RNAcentral describes it as "partial 18S ribosomal RNA". It matches the Rfam family "Eukaryotic small subunit ribosomal RNA", at positions 1470 to 1796 of the family's 1831-position model. The record is from RNAcentral.
CCCUUAGAUGUUCUGGGCCGCACGCGUGCUACACUGAGUGGAUCAGCGGGUCAGGUUGCGCGAAAGUGUUUCCUAAUCUUGAAAUCCGCUCGUGAUGGGGAUUGACGGUUGCAAUUUUCCGUCAUGAACGAGGAAUACCUUGUAAGCGCGGGUCAUCAUCCCGCGCUGAAUACGUCCCUGCCCUUUGUACACACCGCCCGUCGCUCCUACCGAUUGAGUGGUCCGGUGAGGCUUUGGGAUCUGAGCGGAAAGAGCGUUUCGCUGUUUCUGCUCGGGAAACUCAGUCGAACCUUAUCAUUUAGAGGAAGGAGAAGUCGUAACA